AUUGAACGCUGGCGGCAUGCUUUACACAUGCAAGUCGAACGGCAGCACGAAAGAGCUUGCUCUUUUGGUGGCGAGUGGCGGACGGGUGAGUAAUGCAUCGGAACGUACCGAGUAAUGGGGGAUAACUGUCCGAAAGGAUAGCUAAUACCGCAUACGCUUUGAGAAGGAAAGUGGGGGCUCUUCGGACCUCACGUUAUUCGAGCGGCCGAUGUCUGAUUAGCUAGUUGGUGGGGUAAAGGCCUACCAAGGCGACGAUCAGUAGCGGGUCUGAGAGGAUGAUCCGCCACACUGGGACUGAGACACGGCCCAGACUCCUACGGGAGGCAGCAGUGGGGAAUUUUGGACAAUGGGCGCAAGCCUGAUCCAGCCAUGCCGCGUGUCUGAAGAAGGCCUUCGGGUUGUAAAGGACUUUUGUUAGGGAAGAAAAGGAUAGUGUUAAUACCAUUAUCUGCUGACGGUACCUAAAGAAUAAGCACCGGCUAACUACGUG
Molecule: ribosomal RNA, 490 nt
Filed under: uncultured bacterium
Lineage: Bacteria
Description: partial 16S ribosomal RNA
Rfam family: Bacterial small subunit ribosomal RNA
Source: RNAcentral